RNAcentral lists this ribosomal RNA (494 nucleotides) under uncultured bacterium. RNAcentral's name for it is "partial 16S ribosomal RNA". It matches the Rfam family "Bacterial small subunit ribosomal RNA", at positions 28 to 507 of the family's 1533-position model. The record is from RNAcentral.
GACGAACGCUGGCGGCGCGCUUAACACAUGCAAGUCGAACGGAAAGGCCUGCUUUUCCUUGUGGAUUGCGGGUACUCGAGUGGCGAACGGGUGAGUAACACGUGAGUGAUCUGCCCCCAACUUGGGUAUAAGCCUGGGAAACUGGGUCUAAUUCCCGAUAGGACUGCAGGGUGGUGCCUGUGGUGGAAAACGAUUUUCUAGUGGUUGGGGAUUAGCCCGCGGCGUAUCAGCUUGUUGGUGGGGUAAUUGCCUACCAAGGCGGGGAGGGGAAGCCAGAGGGAGAGGGGGGACAGCGAAAUUGGGACUGAGUCACGGCCCAGACGGCUACGAGAGGCAGGGGUGGGGAAGAAAGCAGCGUGGGCGGAAGCCUGAUGCAGCGACGCAGCGUGGGGGAUGUCGGCCUUGGGGUUGUAAACUCCUUGCGACCACGAGGAAGGCAACUGGUUGGAAGGGUGGUGACGGUAGUGGUAGAAGAAGCACCGGCUAACUACGUG